ACGGCAUGUGCCUGUAUUGCUGGGACAUCGAGCCUUCCCAAGUCAACCCUGAAGGACCAAGACAACAUCAUCCUUCAGAGGUCACUGAGCGGCAGCUUGCAAAUAAACGUAUUCAGAAUAUGCAACACCUAAAGAAAGAGAAGAGGAGACUGAAUAAAAGGUUUUCAAGGCCUUCUCCUAUUCCAGAACCAGGACUCCUAUGGUCAUCUUGAUAAAGCAGGAGUCUAUUUGAAGGAAACCAUGCUCCAGACAGAAAUAUGUGGAUUGUGAACAUCAAGUGACAUAUCAUGAAUUGAUCAUCCACAAAAUAAAUGCAAUACUCCACCAUUUCGGAAAAAUAAACACAGUGCAAGUAUUUAAUAUCC
RNAcentral lists this long non-coding RNA (365 nucleotides) under Homo sapiens (human). RNAcentral describes it as "non-protein coding lnc-CCDC179-1:6". The record is from RNAcentral. Lineage: Eukaryota; Metazoa; Chordata; Mammalia; Primates; Hominidae.